GUAACGGCGAGUGAAGCGGCAACAGCUCAAAUUUGAAAUCUGGCCUCUCGGGGGUCCGAGUUGUAAUUUGUAGAGGAUGUUUCGGGUACCGCCUCGGUUUAAAUUUCUUGGAACAGAAUGUCAAAGAGGGUGAGAAUCCCGUCUUGGACCGGCGGUAGGGCCUAUGUGAAACUCCUUCGACGAGUCGAGUUGUUUGGGAAUGCAGCUCAAAAUGGGUGGUAAAUUUCAUCUAAAGCUAAAUAUUGGCCAGAGACCGAUAGCGCACAAGUAGAGUGAUCGAAAGAUGAAAAGCACUUUGAAAAGAGAGUUAAACAGUAUGUGAAAUUGUUGAAAGGGAAGCGCUUGCAACCAGACUUGAGCGCGGCGGUUCCCCCUUGCUUCUGCUUGGGUUACUCCGCCGUGUCCAGGCCAACAUCGGUUCUGGGGGUCGGUCAAAGGCCUUGGGAAUGUAUCUACCCACGGGUAGACUUAUAGACCAGGGUGUCAUGCGACCUCCCGGGACCGAGGAACGCGCUUCGGCUCGGAUGUUGGCGUAAUGGUUGUCAGCGACCCG
This 553-nucleotide ribosomal RNA is filed under the name Fonsecaea minima. RNAcentral describes it as "eukaryotic LSU rRNA". It matches the Rfam family "Eukaryotic large subunit ribosomal RNA", at positions 83 to 651 of the family's 3401-position model. The record is from RNAcentral. Lineage: Eukaryota; Fungi; Ascomycota; Eurotiomycetes; Chaetothyriales; Herpotrichiellaceae.